ACACUUGUUUCAGUGUCAUCUUUGAGGAAGUAAGAAUAUUUUAUGCGUGGUAUUACAAAAAUCUCUCACGGCAAAGUUCCAUUAAAUAAUUAAUUGAGAAUAUUCGAUGUAAAAUAUGCAGUAAGCAGAAUGUCCGUAUUUUUUCCCGAACAUGACCUUAAUGUACUUCUAGAAACCCAAACGUACACGGCUUCACUCGACAGCAGAGGGCGGUAUUUUUCAGCAUUGUUCAUUAACAUGUAUGUAAGCUUCUGGAUGUAUUAAUCUGUGGAACUCAAAGCAUAUACCUUUUCCCUGAUUUGUUUGGAUUCUAAUACAAGAUCAUGCCCAACCUCAGGGAGACUGCAAUUUCCAGCGAGGAAAGAACAACCUUCUGGACAGCAACCAGUCUGGCUUCAGAAGUGGACAUUGAACUGAAACUGUGCUGCUCUUGGUUGUUGAAGCCCUAAGACUGGCAAGAGCGGCUUUCAAAUCUUCAAUACUUGCUGGAUCUGUCUAUUGGUUCUGCCAUGGUUAACAACCAGAUCUUCCUGUCAACCUUUGGGGCAAAGGGCAUCUCAGGAACAGAACACCACCUCUUAGAUAGGUCCUUCAAGGUUUCUUGGUGGGGCGAGGUGUCCAAGUAACGCAACGUCUAGCUACUGGGGUGCCUCAGGGCUCAAUUCUUGGACCACUUCUUUUUUUCUAUCUACAUGGUAUUAGUAGGUUCUGUCAUUCAGAAACUAAUAUGCAUCUAAUCCAGAACGCAGCAGCAAGAGUAGUCUUUAACAAGCUGAAAAGAGUGCAUGUCACACCUCUGUUCAUCAAAUUGCACUGGAUACUAAUAGCUGCUUGCAUAAAAUUCAAGGCAUUGAUGUAUGUUGGCCUACAAAACAACAGCUAGCAUCACACCCAUUUACCUAAAAUCACUAUUUCACACUUAUGUGCCCUCCAUUAGCUUGUGUUCUGCAAGUGAACGGCACAUUAAUGCCAUCCCAAAGAAGCACAAAAUCAAUUUCACAGACUUUUGCCUUAACUGUUGCCUGCUGGUGAAAUGACCUGCCCAACUCGAUCCGAGCAGCUGAGUCUUUAGCCAUCUUCAAGAAACGACUAAAAACACAUCUCUUCCAUCUUACACUUCACCCUCUAACACUAGAACCUUUUGUUCUAUUUCUGUUCUGUAUACUUGUUUUCUUUUUAUUUAUUAAAAAAGAAAAAAGACCCUCUAACACUAGUGUUCUAUACUUGUUUUAUGCUUUUAUGCUUAUUAUGCUUUUUUAGAAAGUCUUGAUUUUGUUUUGUGGGUGUAUUAGAACAUGCUUUCAUGCUUGGUGGUUCAAAAAACGCAUUAUUUUUCACAUAUUUUACAUUAUUACAAUACCUUUCUCCCCAGCCUGGCACAAAUGGCUCGAUUAGUGCCAGGUUUAAUGAAGGGCCGCCUUCCAAAAAGCGAAAUGUGUUGUGAUUGGUUAGCUGUACCAUUGCGUUUCGAUUGGCGAACAGCUUAGAUGGUGUUUCAGUACUACCACGCCCCUUGCCAAAGCAUAGAUAUAGUUAUAGUUAAU
Long non-coding RNA from Labeo rohita (rohu), 1544 nucleotides. RefSeq lists it as uncharacterized. The transcript has 3 exons. Lineage: Eukaryota; Metazoa; Chordata; Actinopteri; Cypriniformes; Cyprinidae. The record is from RefSeq and is a predicted model, not a curated record.